This 200-nucleotide unclassified non-coding RNA is filed under the name Pleosporales sp. Its description in RNAcentral is "partial internal transcribed spacer 2". The record is from RNAcentral. Lineage: Eukaryota; Fungi; Ascomycota; Dothideomycetes; Pleosporales.
UUAAGUUCAGCGGGUAUCCCUACUUGAUCCGAGGUCAAAAGUGUUAAAUGUGCUUACUGGACGCUACUAAUGCUGGGUAGACUCGCAAAUUGUGCUGCGCUUCAAACCAAUAUCGUGGCUGCCAAUGAAUUUAAGGCGAGUCCAAACGCGAGGAAAGGACAAACACCCAACACCAAGCAAAGCUUGAGAGUACAAAUGAC